GACGAACGCUGGCGGCGUGCCUAAUACAUGCAAGUCUAAGGGGGUUGGUUCCUUCGGGAGCCGAUUCACUGGCGCACGGGUGAGUAACGCGUAAAUAAUCUGCCUCUGGGUCUGGCAUAACUUCGGGAAACCGGGGCUAAUUCCGGAUGACACCGCAAGGUCAAAGCUUUGGCGCCCAGAGAUGAGUUUGCGUCUGAUUAGCUAGUUGGCGGGGUAAUGGCCCACCAAGGCGACGANCAGUAGCCGGUCUGAGAGGAUGAUCGGCCACAUUGGGACUGAGACACGGCCCAGACUCCUACGGGAGGCAGCAGUGGAGAAUAUUGCGCAAUGGGCGAAAGCCUGACGCAGCGACGCCGCGUGAGGGACGAAGGCC
RNAcentral lists this ribosomal RNA (373 nucleotides) under uncultured bacterium. RNAcentral's name for it is "bacterial SSU rRNA". It matches the Rfam family "Bacterial small subunit ribosomal RNA", at positions 28 to 416 of the family's 1533-position model. The record is from RNAcentral.